RNAcentral lists this ribosomal RNA (498 nucleotides) under uncultured bacterium. RNAcentral describes it as "partial 16S ribosomal RNA". It matches the Rfam family "Bacterial small subunit ribosomal RNA", at positions 28 to 508 of the family's 1533-position model. The record is from RNAcentral.
GAUGAACGCUGGCGGCGUGCCUAAUACAUGCAAGUCGAGCGAACGGACGAGAAGCUUGCUUCUCUGAUGUUAGCGGCGGACGGGUGAGUAACACGUGGAUAACCUACCUAUAAGACUGGGAUAACUUCGGGAAACCGGAGCUAAUACCGGAUGAUAUUUUGAACCGCAUGGUUCAAAAGUGAAAGACGGUCUUGCUGUCACUUAUAGAUGGAUCCGCGCUGCAUUAGCUAGUUGGUAAGGUAACGGCUUACCAAGGCAACGAUGCAUAGCCGACCUGAGAGGGUGGUCGGCCACACUGGAACUGAGACACGGUCCAGACUCCUACGGGAGGCAGCAGUAGGGAAUCUUCCGCAAUGGGCGAAAGCCUGACGGAGCAACGCCGCGUGAGUGAUGAAGGUCUUCGGAUCGUAAAACUCUGUUAUUAGGGAAGAACAUAUGUGUAAGUAACUGUGCACAUCUUGACGGUACCUAAUCAGAAAGCCACGGCUAACUACGUGC